GGUAACGCUGAGGACUCUGGCGGAACUGCCGGUGACAAACCGGAGGAAGGUGGGAUGACGUCAAGUCAGCAUGGCCUUUAUAUCCUGGGCUACACACACGCUACAAUGGGAAGGGACAAUAGGUUGCGAAGCCGCGAGGCGGAGCCAAUCCAGCAAACUUCCCUCAGUUCAGAUUGCAGGCUGCAACUCGCCUGCAUGAAGUUGGAGUUGCUAGUAAACGCAGGUCAGCCAUACUGCGUUGAAUACGUUCCCGGGGCUU
RNAcentral lists this ribosomal RNA (259 nucleotides) under uncultured Anaerolineaceae bacterium. RNAcentral's name for it is "partial 16S ribosomal RNA". It matches the Rfam family "Bacterial small subunit ribosomal RNA", at positions 1124 to 1382 of the family's 1533-position model. The record is from RNAcentral. Lineage: Bacteria; Bacillati; Chloroflexota; Anaerolineae; Anaerolineales; Anaerolineaceae.